RNAcentral lists this ribosomal RNA (437 nucleotides) under Legionella sp. RNAcentral's name for it is "bacterial SSU rRNA". It matches the Rfam family "Bacterial small subunit ribosomal RNA", at positions 396 to 826 of the family's 1533-position model. The record is from RNAcentral. Lineage: Bacteria; Pseudomonadati; Pseudomonadota; Gammaproteobacteria; Legionellales; Legionellaceae.
UCCGCGUGUGUGAAGAGGCCUGAGGGUUGUAAAGCACUUUCAGUGGGGAGGAGGAUAGCAUGGUUAAGAGCUGAGCUAUUGGACGUUACCUACAGAAGAAGCACCGGCUAACUCCGUGCCAGCAGCCGCGGUAAUACGGAGGGUGCGAGCGUUAAUCGGAAUUACUGGGCGUAAAGGGUGCGUAGGUGGUUAAAUAAGUUAGAUGUAAAAACCCUGGGCUUAACCUAGGACUGAGAUUUAAUACUGUUUAACUAGAGUAUGGGAGAGGGUAGUGGAAUUUCCGGUGUAGCGGUGAAAUGCGUAGAGAUCGGAAGGAACACCAGUGGCGAAGGCGGCUACCUGGCCUAAUACUGACACUGAGGCACGAAAGCGUGGGGAGCAAACAGGAUUAGAUACCCUGGUAGUCCACGCUGUAAACGAUGUCAACUAGCCGUUGG